RNAcentral lists this ribosomal RNA (1312 nucleotides) under metagenome. RNAcentral's name for it is "bacterial LSU rRNA". It matches the Rfam family "Bacterial large subunit ribosomal RNA", at positions 1563 to 2925 of the family's 2925-position model. The record is from RNAcentral.
GGAUUGGGAGGGUUCUACGGAACCCGUUUGGUGAAUCUAGUGCCGAGAAAAGCCUUCUAUGUGUUGAAUUUCUAGUACCCGUACCCCAAACCGACACAGGUGGGUGGGUAGAGCAUACCUAGGGGCGCGUGAUAACUCUCUCUAAGGAACUCGGCAAAAUGGCCCUGUAACUUCGGGAUAAGGGGUGCCUGCGUGAGCAGGCCGCAGUGAAAUGGCUCUGGCGACUGUUUACCAAAAACACAGGUCUCUGCUAAGUCGUAAGACGAUGUAUAGGGGCUGACUCCUGCCCAGUGCCGGAAGGUUAAGGAAGUUGGUUAGCGCAAGCGAAGCUGGCGACCGAAGCCCCGGUGAACGGCGGCCGUAACGAUAACGGUCCUAAGGUAGCGAAAUUCCUUGUCGGGUAAGUUCCGACCCGCACGAAAGGAGUAACGAUCAGAGCGCUGUCUCGGAGAGAGACACGGCGAAAUAGGAUUGUCCGUGAAGAUACGGACUACCUGCACCCGGACAGAAAGACCCUAUGAAGCUUUACUGUAACUUGGAAUUGCGUUCGGACUUUGUCUGCGCAGAAUAGGUGGGAGGCUAUGAAACGUUCCUCGCGGGGAACUGGAGCCAUCGUUGAGAUACCACUCUGGCAGAGUCUGGAUUCUAACCUACGGGGACAGUUCCAGGUGGGCAGUUUGACUGGGGCGGUCGCCUCCUAAAAUGUAACGGAGGCGCGCAAAGGUUCCCUCAGGCUGGUUGGAAAUCAGCCAUAGAGUGUAAAAGCAUAAGGGAGCUUGACUGUGAGACCUACAAGUCGAGCAGGGACGAAAGUCGGCUUUAGUGAUCCGACGGCACUGAGUGGAAGGGCCGUCGCUCAACGGAUAAAAUUUACUCUAGGAUAACAGGCUGAUCUCCCCCAAGAGUUCACAUCGACGGGGAGGUUUGGCACCUCGAUAUCGGCUCGUCGCAACCUGGGGCGGUAGUACGUCCCAAGGGUUGGGCUGUUCGCCCAUUAAAGCGGCACGUGAGCUGGGUUCAGAACGUCGUGAGACAGUUCGGUCCAUAUCCGGUGUAGGCGUAGGAGCAUUGAAAGGAUCUCUCCUUAGUACGAGAGGACCGGGAGGGACGUACCUCUGGUGUACCUGUUAUCGUGCCAACGGUAAACGCAGGGUAGCCAUGUACGGAGUGGAUAACCGCUGAAAGCAUCUAAGUGGGAAGCCCACCUUAAGAUGAGUGCUCCCUUGAGGCCACGGGAAGACGACCCGUUUGAUAGGCGCUAGGUGGAAGUGCAGUAAUGCAUGCGGCCGAGGCGUACUAAUAGGCCGAUGGC